UUCCCUUCGGGGAGCAAGUAGAGUGGCGCACGGGUGAGUAACACGUAGGUAAUCUACCUUUGGAUGGGGAAUAACAACCGGAAACGGUUGCUAAUACCGCAUAAUGCAGCGGCACCUAAUGGUGACAGUUGUUAAAGCGGGGGAUCGAAAGACCUCGCGUCUAAAGAGGAGCCUGCGGCGGAUUAGCUAGUUGGUAAGGUAAUGGCUUACCAAGGCGAUGAUCCGUAACCGGCCUGAGAGGGCGGUCGGUCACACUGACACUGAUAUACGGGUCAGACUCCUACGGGAGGCAGCAGUCGGGAAUUUUGGGCAAUGGGCGAAAGCCUGACCCAGCAACGCCGCGUGAAGGAUGAAAUCCCUCGGGAUGUAAACUUCGCAAGAACAGGAAGAAUAAGUAGGGGAUAAUACCCUCUAUGAUGACGGUACUGUUUGUAAGCUCCGGCUAACUCCGUGCCAGCAGCCGCGGUAAUACGGGGGGAGCAAGCGUUGUUCGGAUUUACUGGGCGUAAAGGGCGCGUAGGCGGCCACCGCAAGUCGGUUGUGAAAUCUCUGGGCUUAACCCAGAAAGGUCAACCGAUACUGCGGGGCUAGAGUGCAGAAGGGGCAACUGGAAUUCUCGGUGUAGCGGUGAAAUGCGUAGAUAUCGAGAGGAACACCUGCGGCGAAGGCGGGUUGCUGGGCUGACACUGACGCUGAAGCGCGAAAGCUAGGGGAGCGAACGGGAUUAGAUACCCCGGUAGUCCUAGCCUUAAACGAUGAAUGCUUGGUGUC
RNAcentral lists this ribosomal RNA (771 nucleotides) under uncultured Actinomycetes bacterium. RNAcentral's name for it is "bacterial SSU rRNA". It matches the Rfam family "Bacterial small subunit ribosomal RNA", at positions 74 to 824 of the family's 1533-position model. Lineage: Bacteria; Bacillati; Actinomycetota; Actinomycetes. The record is from RNAcentral.